Molecule: ribosomal RNA, 351 nt
Filed under: uncultured bacterium
Lineage: Bacteria
Description: bacterial SSU rRNA
Rfam family: Bacterial small subunit ribosomal RNA
Source: RNAcentral
GACGAACGCUGGCGGCGUGCCUAAAACAUGCAAGUCGAACGGAGGCUUCGGCCUCAGUGGCGAACGGCGGAGUAAUACAUAAGCAACGUGCCCUGAAGACUGGGAUAGUCAUUGGAAACGAUGGGUAAUACCAGAUGCGGCCACUUUCCGGCAUCGGAGAGUGAUCAAAUGGUUUUUCGCUUCAGGAGCGGCUUAUGGCCUAUCAGGUAGUUGGUGGGGUAAUGGCCUACCAAGCCGACGACGGGUAGCGGGUCUGAGAGGAUGAUCCGCUCGAGUGGGACUGAGACACGGCCCACACACCUACGGGUGGCAGCAGUUGGGAAUCUUGCACAAUGGGGGCAACCCUGAUGC